Molecule: ribosomal RNA, 453 nt
Filed under: uncultured bacterium
Lineage: Bacteria
Description: bacterial SSU rRNA
Rfam family: Bacterial small subunit ribosomal RNA
Source: RNAcentral
GACGAACGCUGGCGGCGUGCCUAACACAUGCAAGUCAACUUGACUGAAGGAGCAAUCUGACAGUAGAGUGGCGCAAGGGUGCGUAACGCGUAAGUAACUUGCCCAAGGUAAGGAAUAACGUCGAGAAAUCGGCGCUAAUACCUCAUAAUGCAGCGGAUCCGCAUGGAUAUGUUGUUAAAGGUUUACCGCCUUGGGAUAGGCUUGCGUCUGAUUAGCUAGUUGGUGUGGUAACGGCACACCAAGGCUACGAUCAGUAACUGGUCUGAGAGGAUGAUCAGUCACACUGGAACUGAGACACGGUCCAGACUCCUACGGGAGGCAGCAGUGAGGAAUAUUGGGCAAUGCUCGAAAGAGUGACCCAGCAACGCCGCGUGGAGGAUGAAGGUAUUCUAUAUCGUAAACUCCUGUGAGAGCAGACGAAAGACAGAUUAUAAUCUGGAUGACUGUAUGCUC